UAGGGAAUCUUCCACAAUGGACGCAAGUCUGAUGGAGCAACGCCGCGUGAGUGAAGAAGGCUUUCGGGUCGUAAAACUCUGUUAUUGAAGAAGAACGUGCGUGACAGUAACUGGUCAUGCAGUGACGGUAUUCAAUCAGAAAGUCACGGCUAACUACGUGCCAGCAGCCGCGGUAAUACGUAGGUGGCAAGCGUUGUCCGGAUUUAUUGGGCGUAAAGCGAGUGCAGGCGGUCUUUUAAGUCUGAUGUGAAAGCCUUCGGCUUAACCGAAGAAGGGCAUCGGAAACUGGGAGACUUGAGUGCAGAAGAGGAGAGUGGAACUCCAUGUGUAGCGGUGAAAUGCGUAGAUAUAUGGAAGAACACCAGUGGCGAAGGNGGCUCUCUGGUCUGUAACUGACGCUGAGGCUCGAAAAGCGUGGGUAGCAAACAGGAUUAGAUACCCUGGUAGUCCACGCCGUAAACGAUGAAU
This 468-nucleotide ribosomal RNA is filed under the name uncultured bacterium. RNAcentral describes it as "partial 16S ribosomal RNA". It matches the Rfam family "Bacterial small subunit ribosomal RNA", at positions 355 to 814 of the family's 1533-position model. The record is from RNAcentral.